ACCCCCAACAGCCGUGCUGGCCGCUGAUGCGAGAAGCACAUGCUACGGCGAUAGCAGCACCGCCAAAGUCGUCGCUGCCCACGGCCGGAACUCCCUUGUCCGCUAGCUCAACCACCAACUAGGACCCCCAUCGACCAUCCCAUGCGUCGCCACGUCGCCUGCAACACCAGUGGUGGUCGGCCGCCGAGCUUAUCCAUUGCCGCCAUGGAACCAACCCCGACGCGCUAUAAAUAGGACCCUUAGCAAAACUUCUCCGAACCCUCUCAAGCCCCCUAGCAGUCAAUCGACUGGGGAAGGCCAUCUUCCUCACCUCCGGUCAAAGUCUGGCCUCCGCCUUCCUGGUUGAAAUUCGAGGCCAGAAGGGUUGGUCCUGCGCCAUUCUCCCCUUUGGUUGAACCACUCCGACCCCGCAAAGCCAUUCCCCCACCGUAGGCCCCCAUUACUCCCGCAACCGCCGUCCCCCUUAGAGCUCACCGCCGGCGACCCUCUCCGUCUCCAUAGCCCUUUCGACCUCCACGAGUACCGGUAGCUUGCGGGGAACCCAUUGCCACCCUCGGAAGAAACCCAAGAGUCACCAAUCACUGGCGACGAUCGCCGGAGCCCCGCCUCCGCUCGGCUAGAGGAGGAAGAAGGCAUAGGCGACUAGUCAAAUGUGACCAGUAUGCCAGACGGGCCCACUGUUAGUGACUCGCGAGUCACGCGUGUGCUGGAUAAGUGGACGCGCCUUCCGUGAAAUACGUUUUCUCCUCGCACUUGCGUAUUUCCUUCCGAAGUGUUUUCCAUUUUCUGGUUUAUUUUAAAAUAGAGCUUUGACCAAUCUUUGACUGGCCCUAAUUUAUAGAAUCAAGAUCCAAAUGACUAUAGCAUGCUUGUUAUUAUUUCUUAUAAGCUCAGAUGCCCGAUUGUGGCAUGCAUGUUAUUAAUUCUUAUAAUCCCUUUAUGUGGCGUCGCUCAGACGCCCGAUUGUCGCAUGCAUGUUAUUAUUUCUUAUAAGCCCUUUAUGUGGUGUCGCUCAGACAACCGAUUGAACUAUGUCGGGGGAUAAUCCCGGGGUAGGCCCAGCGAGCCUGCUCCUUUAC
This 1079-nucleotide long non-coding RNA is filed under the name Hordeum vulgare. RNAcentral describes it as "long non-coding RNA (HVUL_LNC015436)". Lineage: Eukaryota; Viridiplantae; Streptophyta; Magnoliopsida; Poales; Poaceae. The record is from RNAcentral.